This 567-nucleotide long non-coding RNA is filed under the name Mytilus galloprovincialis (Mediterranean mussel). Lineage: Eukaryota; Metazoa; Mollusca; Bivalvia; Mytilida; Mytilidae. The record is from RNAcentral.
CACAUGACUGCUACACGAUUCUCUAAAAGUGUGUGCAGAUCUGAUAAACUCUCAUAACUCUGUCUCCGCAAAAAUAUAUUGGCAACAUCAUAUUUAACUGUACAAAAAUUCCUCUAUGUACAGUACGUGUCUUUACUUUUGCAAGUAGAGGUAACAUUUUAAAUGAGAGGCAAAAGAAACCAUAGAAACAAUCCAACUCAAAGGUCGAAAACAAAGCGACUCAGACAUAGCAAAACAAAAAACGACAAGAAGACAAACAGCAAGCCACAUAACAUACAUAACUUGGACGAAGUCAGGUGUUCCGUAAGGGAAGAAUAUCCUGCAAUUUUGGCACCGGCGGAUUUUUCAAAUACGAAAGUAAUUGAGCAAUAACAUUCAUUAUUAGACUGCUGACGACUAAAUUAUCUUUCGAAGUUUGUUUAUAAGAGCAGCGAUCAAGAUUAUAUUUACCUGUUUUAUGGGAUAUUUUCUGUUUUGUCCGUCUGUAUUUUUCGUUUGUCUAGAAAUGUUUGCACUAGUAUAAAAACAAAGAUGUAGUACAAUUGCCAACGAGACAGCUCUUCACAG